RNAcentral lists this transfer RNA (65 nucleotides) under Varanus varius (lace monitor). RNAcentral's name for it is "tRNA-Tyr". The record is from RNAcentral. Lineage: Eukaryota; Metazoa; Chordata; Lepidosauria; Squamata; Varanidae.
GGUAAGGUGGCUGAGUUAGGUGGUAGAUUGUAAAUUUACUUACGAGGUGAACACCUCCCUUAUCA